GACGAACGCUGGCGGCGGGCUUAACACAUGCAAGUCGAACGGAAAGGCCCUGCUUUUGUGGGGUGCUCGAGGGGCGAACGGGUGAGUAACACGUGAGUAACCUGCCCUUGACUUUGUGAUAACUGCAGGAAACUGGGGCUAAUACCGGAGAGGAGCUCCUGCUGCAGGGUGGGGGUUGGAAAGUUUCGGCGGUUGGGGAUGGACUCGCGGCUUAUCAGCUUGUUGGUGGGGUAGUGGCUUACCAAGGCUUCGACGGGUAGCCGGCAUGAGAGGGUGACCGGCCACAUUGGGACUGAGAUACGGCCCAGACUCCUACGGGAGGCAGCAGUGGGGAAUAUUGCACAAUGGGCGGAAGCCUGAUGCAGCAACGCCGCGUGCGGGAUGACGGCCUUCGGGUUGUAAACCGCUUUCGCCUGUGACGAAGCGUGAGUGACGGUAAUGGGUAAAGAAGCACCGGCUAACUACGUG
RNAcentral lists this ribosomal RNA (468 nucleotides) under uncultured bacterium. Its description in RNAcentral is "partial 16S ribosomal RNA". It matches the Rfam family "Bacterial small subunit ribosomal RNA", at positions 28 to 507 of the family's 1533-position model. The record is from RNAcentral.